CAGCUCCUAACAUCCGAACUUGGCGUGCCGACAAGUGACAGCUGAGCCUCUUCACAGGUCGAGGUGAUGUUACCAACGAAGACGGUUCAUUCUGGAGCCCAGCCUCAUUCAUCAGGAGUCCAGAGAAAACGUGCUAUUUCCCUGUCUGGUCCCUGGUGACCUGAAGUUGACGAUGCAAGACAGAGACGGUGGUCCAAAGGAGUUCCAGUUUGAAGGGAGAUGAGAACGCAAACGUGGCGGGCGAGUGGUAGGAGGCCAAAGAGACAGCUGAAGCAGUCCACAAAGAAACCAGGCUUGGUCAAGGAGGUCAGGAUCCAAAAAGCCUCGGGCAU
Molecule: long non-coding RNA, 332 nt
Organism: Nematolebias whitei (Rio pearlfish)
Lineage: Eukaryota; Metazoa; Chordata; Actinopteri; Cyprinodontiformes; Rivulidae
Exons: 3
Source: RefSeq, a predicted model, not a curated record